UCCGAAUUGGUGUAGUGGCUAACAUUCGGGAUUCUCGUUCCUGAGCCCGGGGUUCGAUUCCCCGAUUCGGAA
Molecule: non-coding RNA, 72 nt
Organism: Daldinia grandis
Lineage: Eukaryota; Fungi; Ascomycota; Sordariomycetes; Xylariales; Hypoxylaceae
Source: the annotation of a GenBank genome assembly